RNAcentral lists this long non-coding RNA (386 nucleotides) under Mytilus galloprovincialis (Mediterranean mussel). The record is from RNAcentral. Lineage: Eukaryota; Metazoa; Mollusca; Bivalvia; Mytilida; Mytilidae.
GGAAAAAUGUUGGAAACCUGUUUUGAAACUAUUUGCUUGGAAGAACUGUCUCAGGAGGUAUACUUUGGACAGUAUAAAAAAGGAGAACUAUUCAAAACAAAAUACACAAUCACAUGUAUAUAUAUAAGUUAGAGUAUAUAAAAAGAAACUUGACACUCUGGGUAGAAAGUGAAGGGUUUUCAAACUAUUUCCAACCAUAAGUCUAUGAAACACAAGCAAAAUUUAAUUAUAAUGCAUCAUGCUACAAAAUACCUAAAUAACAGCUAAUCUGCUUCCACUAUAUUAAAAAUAAAUGGGGUCAAUGCCUCCAUAGGGACACAGAUGAUGACCCUGCUAGCAUAUGACGUUAUAAAGGGACAUAACUCAAGAACUGCAAAAGUGAAGCU